Molecule: ribosomal RNA, 465 nt
Filed under: uncultured bacterium
Lineage: Bacteria
Description: partial 16S ribosomal RNA
Rfam family: Bacterial small subunit ribosomal RNA
Source: RNAcentral
CCUACGGGAGGCUGCAGUAGGGAAUCUUCCACAAUGGGCGAAAGCCUGAUGGAGCAACGCCGCGUGGGUGAAGAAGGUCUUCGGAUCGUAAAACCCUGUUGUUAGAGAAGAAAGUGCGUGCGAGUAACUGUUCACGUUUCGACGGUAUCUAACCAGAAAGCCACGGCUAACUACGUGCCAGCAGCCGCGGUAAUACGUAGGUGGCAAGCGUUAUCCGGAUUUGUUGGGCGUAAAGGGAACGCAGGCGGUCUGUUAAGUCUGAUGUGAAAGGCUUCGGCUUAACCGGAGUAGUGCAUUGGAAACUGGGAGACUUGAGGGCAGAAGAGGAGAGUGGAACUCGAGGUGUAGCGGUGAAAUGCGUAGAUAUAGGGAAGAACACCAGUGGCGAAGGCGGCUCUCUGGUCUGUAACUGACGCUGAGGUUCGAAAGCGUGGGUAGCAAACAGGAUUAGAUACCCGAGGAGUC